RNAcentral lists this ribosomal RNA (254 nucleotides) under uncultured bacterium. RNAcentral describes it as "partial 16S ribosomal RNA". It matches the Rfam family "Bacterial small subunit ribosomal RNA", at positions 524 to 776 of the family's 1533-position model. The record is from RNAcentral.
UACGAAGGGGGCGAGCGUUGUUCGGAUUUACUGGGCGUAAAGGGCGCGUAGGCGGCGCGAGAAGUCGAGUGUGAAAGCCCCGGGCUCAACCUGGGAAUUGCGCUCGAGACUCUAGUGCUUGAGUUCGGGAGAGGAGCGUGGAAUUCCCAGUGUAGAGGUGAAAUUCGUAGAUAUCUGGAGGAACACCGGUGGCGAAGGCGGCAUCCUGGACCAACACUGACGCUGAGUGAGCGAAAGCCAGGGGAGCAAACGGG